UGUCCUCCAUUGUUGCUGUCAGCAUAUCUAAUUGCGUCUGAUGCCUUUAAGGCGGCGUUGUGUAGAUUGGUCUUGAUUCUUCCUAUAUUCCUUGUCAAAAAGAUUGUCUUCUUGAACUGGCACAUGACCUCCGGCACCUGUGACAUCGACAGCGUCUCCUGCAGGUGGCAUUGCAAAUUCUUGCCUCGUUUUCUCAGACAGCACAAGAAAGAAAACCGCCCAUGUGCACCAUGCACAUCUAAACAAGUCGUCUCCGUGCUGCAUCAGUGUCCGACCUGGAGCGGCGAGCGCUCGCAGGAUUCCGAAGAUCCAGCAGGAGGAGCCAGGAUUGUUCCGGCAAUGUCCCUCUUCCAUCCUCAAAGUGCUGCUGUUGGCCACCGUUUAAAAAAAAAAAAAAAAACUCCUCCUCCAAAAAAAGUCUACAAAGUCUCUUUAAAAGAAAUAUUCUCCUUCCCAGUUUGUUUUCUUUUAGAGAGUUUUACGUUUUGUUCCCGUUACGAUGGGUCGAGCGAAUUCCACAAAGUCAUCUAUAAGCACUGGCCACGCCCCUUUAGGGAAAAAAAAAACGGAUCAGAUGAUAUAGUAAAAAAACAAGAUUUCAAAUCAAAUUUCCUCAUUGAAAUGCCAUUCAUCUGUUCUAAGUACCCUAUGCCACCAUGUUUGUUUAAAAAUAACAUUUUGUAAAACAUUAAAAUGUAAAAAUAUAAAGAAAAAAAAAUAUAUAGAUAACUUUCUUCAAGUAACCCCCCCAUAAAAGUAUUUUUGACCUACAUUUUAUAUAUUUUAAAAUGUAUGACUUUUACACACACAAAACAAAAUGUACCUUUUCCACUAAAACAGGCCAUUACUUUUCGUAUGAAAUCCUUCUAAAUGCUGGGAACCACAUCAAUAAAGCCUGAAUACAACCUCGCAAAACAAGAUUUCACAGAAUUUCAAAGUACUCAGGACAUACUAUUUCCCUUUAAUUCCAAAACAUGUAGGCUUUCCCAAUUAAAUAUAAACACUUUUUUUUGGGGGGUGGGGGGGGGAAAUCAACUCUUACCCUCCUCGUCAUAGUUGGACAAAUCAUCUGCUAUCAUGUUCCCAAAGUCCAACAGAAGGUUCCAUGUAUCUUUUGGGAUGGAGCGUUUAUGGUGUUCC
Phyllopteryx taeniolatus (common seadragon) is the source of this 1140-nucleotide long non-coding RNA. RefSeq lists it as uncharacterized. The transcript has 2 exons. NCBI's taxonomy places the organism in Eukaryota, Metazoa, Chordata, Actinopteri, Syngnathiformes, Syngnathidae. The record is from RefSeq and is a predicted model, not a curated record.